AGUGAACGCUGGCGGUAGGCCUAACACAUGCAAGUCGAACGGCAGCACAGUAAGGGCUUGCUCUUACGGGUGGCGAGUGGCGGACGGGUGAGGAAUACAUCGGAAUCUACUUUUUCGUGGGGGAUAACGUAGGGAAACUUACGCUAAUACCGCAUACGACCUACGGGUGAAAGCAGGGGAUCUUCGGACCUUGCGCGAUUGAAUGAGCCGAUGUCGGACUAGCUAGUUGGCGGGGUAAAGGCCCACCAAGGCGACGAUGCGUAGCUGGUCUGAGAGGAUGAUCAGCCACACUGGAGCUGAGACGCGGUCCAUACUCCUACGGGAGGCAGCAGUGGGGUAUGUUGGACAAUGGGCGCAAGCCUGAUCCAGCCAUCCCGCGUGGGUGAAGAAGGCCUUUGGUUUGUAAAGCCCUUUUGUUGGGAAAGAAAAGCAGCAGGUUAAUACCCCGCUGUUCUGACGGUACCCAAAGAAUAAGCACCGGCUAACUUCGUG
This 492-nucleotide ribosomal RNA is filed under the name uncultured bacterium. Its description in RNAcentral is "partial 16S ribosomal RNA". It matches the Rfam family "Bacterial small subunit ribosomal RNA", at positions 29 to 507 of the family's 1533-position model. The record is from RNAcentral.